Molecule: ribosomal RNA, 550 nt
Filed under: uncultured bacterium
Lineage: Bacteria
Description: bacterial SSU rRNA
Rfam family: Bacterial small subunit ribosomal RNA
Source: RNAcentral
UAGGGAAUCUUCGGCAAUGGACGGAAGUCUGACCGAGCAACGCCGCGUGAGUGAAGAAGGUUUUCGGAUCGUAAAGCUCUGUUGUAAGAGAAGAACGAGUGUGAGAGUGGAAAGUUCACACUGUGACGGUAUCUUACCAGAAAGGGACGGCUAACUACGUGCCAGCAGCCGCGGUAAUACGUAGGUCCCGAGCGUUGUCCGGAUUUAUUGGGCGUAAAGCGAGCGCAGGCGGUUAGAUAAGUCUGAAGUUAAAGGCUGUGGCUUAACCAUAGUACGCUUUGGAAACUGUUUAACUUGAGUGCAAGAGGGGAGAGUGGAAUUCCAUGUGUAGCGGUGAAAUGCGUAGAUAUAUGGAGGAACACCGGUGGCGAAAGCGGCUCUCUGGUCUGUCACUGACGCUGAGGCUCGAAAGCGUGGGGAGCGAACAGGAUUAGAUACCCUGGUAGUCCACGCCGUAAACGGUGAGUGCUAGGUGUUGGGUCCUUUCCGGGGCUCAGUGCCGCAGCUAACGCAUUAAGCACUCCGCCUGGGGAGUACGACCGCAAGGUUG